RNAcentral lists this ribosomal RNA (460 nucleotides) under uncultured bacterium. Its description in RNAcentral is "partial 16S ribosomal RNA". It matches the Rfam family "Bacterial small subunit ribosomal RNA", at positions 338 to 795 of the family's 1533-position model. The record is from RNAcentral.
CCUACGGGAGGCUGCAGUGAGGAAUAUUGGUCAAUGGGCGAGAGCCUGAACCAGCCAAGUCGCGUGAAGGAUGAAGGAUCUAUGGUUUGUAAACUUCUUUUAUAUGGGAAUAAAUUGAGGAACGUGUUCCUGUUUGUAUGUACAAUAUGAAUAAGCAUCGGCUAACUCCGUGCCAUCAGCCGCGGUAAUACGGAGGAUGCGAGCGUUAUCCGGAUUUAUUGGGUUUAAAGGGUGCGUAGGUGGUUAAUUAAGUCAGAGGUGAAAGUUUGUGGCUCAACCAUAAAAUUGCCGUUGAAACUGGUCGACGUGAGUAUAUGUGAGGUAGGCGGAAUGCGUGGUGUAGCGGUGAAAUGCAUAGAUAUCACGAAGAACCCCGAUUGCGAAGGCAGCUUACUAAACUAUAACUGACACUGAAGCACGAAAGCGUGGGGAUCAAACAGGAUUAGAUACCCGAGUAGUC